RNAcentral lists this ribosomal RNA (99 nucleotides) under Aphis glycines (soybean aphid). RNAcentral's name for it is "partial 28S ribosomal RNA". It matches the Rfam family "Eukaryotic large subunit ribosomal RNA", at positions 1 to 98 of the family's 3401-position model. The record is from RNAcentral. Lineage: Eukaryota; Metazoa; Arthropoda; Insecta; Hemiptera; Aphididae.
CCGACCUCAGAUCAGGCGGGACUACCCGCCGGAUUUAAGCAUAUUAAUAAGCGGAGGAGAAGAAAACAACCGUGAUUCCCCCAGUAGCGGCGAGCGAAC